AAUCCGCAUAGAAAAAGUCAAGAGUGACAGAUUGGCCGGAGUCGGUGACAGUUUGAGCUCGGACGACAGCGAAGUCAAGCAGCCCCCAUUCUUACAUUUGCCAUCUUACAAAGCUUUAUUAUAGAAUCUUAACAUCGUGUUUACACUGCAAAAGAGCGACGCGAUGCUACAAAACUUAAACCAAACCGUUAGAAUAAUAAUUGAUUAUAACGGGCGCUUUCUAUUUUUGUCGCGUCGCGUGAGAUAAUUACGUAAUUACGCACUUGUGGCGGUUCCCAACAGCUUAUACAAAUAACGUAACGUUGCGCUUGUUUGCUUUGACCAAAAACUUUAGUUUUAGUGAAGUCAAAGACAAGAUAAAGUUAUUUUCAAGACGCAGAACACGGCAAGGAUCAGUCUAAGUGGAGAUGACAUGCUUUUUGGACAUUUAUAUAUUUUCUCUCAAAGUAUUUGUGCUGUCAGCGCUGGAAGAAAAGUCACGGACAUCUGCGAAGAAGUCUCCAAAAGAACGUUCAUCAGACGGAUCUUUCUUAGAAAUACAGACAUUCUGAUUGUAACUUGGGCUGGCACCAAGUCUGAUGACUUUUCCCAGAAGAUUCAGUGAAGACAUAGAGAGAGGGAGCAGAAAGAGAGCCUUCUUGUCCAAUAAGAGGAAAGAGGACUGAAGAAUGUGAAAAGCUCCCAUUCAGGCUGGUUCACAGGGGCUGGGAGCGGCCACAUCCUCAGUAGGGAGGAGGGGUUGACGCUUUCAGGAUGGUGGUCUAGGGUUCUUGGACAGGGGCCAGGAGCGAUGCAGAGGCUCCUCGGAUGACGCUGGUCCGUGGGAGCGUCCAGUGCCCCCGCCUCUCCUCUGUCCCUUAGGACAUCGUCUCUUCACAUUCUAUUUACUCACACAAACAAACUCUCCCAGCAGUCCUUCUACUAUCAGAGCAGAACCAGCCAGUAGUGUGCAUGGUGAGAAAUGAGUCUCUAUUAAUAGAGCAGUUAGAUUAUCUCAAAGACUAAUGACUGGCAUGUCCAGAUUCCUGAAAGGCACAGCAGUGACGUACUUUCAUCCACUGGCAAUGAUCUAAUUUCCUCUGAUAUUCUAUAAAUUCAACUUGUGGUUCUCUUUUUAAAACAGUUUAUAUUUUAUUUGCACACCAUUAUCAUCACCUAUUAUAGUCAAUGAAACCAUUUAUAUGUAACGUGUAUUCAUUUAGCAAACUUUUUAUUUUAUAUUAAGCGACUUACAAAUGAGGAUCAAAGCGAGAAAAAAAGAAAAUUAAAAUGACUGAAGUAAAAAUAAAAAUUGGCAUAAAUGGAAAAAUGUAUAAUGUCCAAAAAUUAAUUGUAGUUCAUAUAUAUAUAACACAUAAAACACAUAAAAAAAAUCUAAAUAUAUAAACUCAAAAUUAUAAAAUGUAUAAAAAAUAAUAAAUAAUAUAAAAACUAUUAACUAAAAUAAACGUAAAAUAAAAUAAACACUAAAUUCAAAAUAUUAAUAGCCUGCUUAAGCAUUCUGCUUGUAUUUGCAUUGAUCGUAAUGCAAUAUUCAGGUAUUCUUGGGUCAAGAAAUUCUUUCCUAUCUAAGCCAUGGCCAGCCCUCCAUCCCAGCCUGUCUUGGGAACCCAUAUGAGCUUCAGGGAGUGUAAACAUCCUACACUCUCAGCUGGAGCCCAGCCCGAGGCUGGGAGUGGGAUGUUUGCGCUCUCUGGCUCAGGAACGCCACGCUCGCUAUGGCUGCACUAUGAAGGGGAAAAACUUACUCUGAAAAAGUCAUCUAGAUGUUCUCAUCUUUUGAGUCACAGUAGACCUGAAAUUACAUCUGACCACUUUGCAGGAAUAUACACUGGAACUAUAAUCCCUGGAGUAGGUAGCAAUCACCUAACUUUAGGGUACUGAUUAAGUGCACUUGUUUGUGUUGCUGUUACUUAAAAUCAAUGCAAAAAAAAAAGUACAGAAAAAGAAGGUUAUGCAAAAUACAGAUAUGAAGAAUUGGCACCAAUUAAUGAGUGUGAAUUAGAAUUAAAUUAUCUACACACCACAGAGGCUGAACUGUAAUUACAGGAAGAGAAAUGUACAGAAUUUUAAUGUAUAGUCAUUGUGUGCAAACCUUAUGUAAAGUAUGUUAAAACGUUCAGGAUAUAAGAAGACAUCUACUUCCUGGACAUUGUGGCUAGAUUUUGAAGUGGAUACGAGAGCUUUGUAACGCACACAGGAAGUGAACUCCAUUGUGAGCUCUGGAAGGGCUCUGAGGGUGAGUGGCCUGUCAUUAAGCUGUUCAGGCUGAAUUCUAGGUUUCUUUGAAGCUUUCUGACCCCACUGGGUGGGACAACUCUGUUCAACUGCAAGCGCCCCCACCCAGACAGAGCUGCCGAUGGAAUUGCCUGAGAGGAAGUGACUAUUUAUACCCGCUAAGGAACAGAGAGAGGCACCCUUCCGAUGGGCGUCUCUCCUCUUGCUUCCUUUGACAAAUUCGUUAGGACUGCUCUCAUGAAAGCUAAACCCAACUCCACAAAGAUAUGCACAACAUCCAGUGCUCUCAAAGAUAUUUGUGCACACACCUAACUGUGUUUUGGUAACCACUCAGCAUUCUCUCUGACUCCAAUGACCUUUACCCCCUUUUGCUUGGUGAUGUCAUAGCUUAAGCAUCUCUUAAAUGUGGCCACUAGGUGGCAGGCUAACUUCAGAAAAUUCAUACUUUGCUUGGAAAGAGCACACACACACACACACACAAAAUGUUAACUAGCCAUCUUUUAGAAAAAGCAUGAAAUGUUAAAACCUCUGAUUAAGCUUUUCCUGUCAACUGGAGGAAUCAAAACAACUGAAGUAUGAAAACAAAGACAUAAUUUAUAAUUAAUGUCGCAUCUUCCCUUCUUGCUUUGCUCUUUGAACUGACUCAGCAAAUUCUUCUCUUGAUGACAGUUAUUUUCAUCUGACUGCAAGAGAGCAACUGAAUUUACACCAAGUUCCUUUCAAAUGUUUCGAACAAUAAUCUCACCCCACAGCUGGAACGGCAAUGGGAAGCUAUGUUAUGUGUAAAGUAAGAACAUUAUUAUAGUAAACAAUGCAUUGUAAACAAUAAACACAUAAGGAAGAAUGUUCUGUGUUGUUCCUUGUUUGUUUAAUAAACCAUAUGCAGCUGA
Long non-coding RNA from Carassius gibelio (silver crucian carp), 3128 nucleotides. RefSeq lists it as uncharacterized. NCBI's taxonomy places the organism in Eukaryota, Metazoa, Chordata, Actinopteri, Cypriniformes, Cyprinidae. The record is from RefSeq and is a predicted model, not a curated record. The transcript has 2 exons.